RNAcentral lists this ribosomal RNA (418 nucleotides) under uncultured soil bacterium. RNAcentral's name for it is "bacterial SSU rRNA". It matches the Rfam family "Bacterial small subunit ribosomal RNA", at positions 26 to 431 of the family's 1533-position model. The record is from RNAcentral.
AGGACGAACGCUGGCGGCGUGCUUAACACAUGCAAGUCGAGCGGUAAGGCCUUUCGGGGUACACGAGCGGCGAACGGGUGAGUAACACGUGGGUGGUCUGCCCUGCACUUCGGGAUAAGCCUGGGAAACUGGGUCUAAUACCGGAUAUGACUUCAGGUUGCAUGACGUUGGGGGUGGAAAGUAUUUAGUCGGUGCAGGAUCGGGCCCGCGGCCUACCAGUCUUGUUGGUGGGGUAAUGGCCUAACCGAAGGCGACGGACGGGUAGCCGACCUGAGAGGGUGACCGGCCACACGUGGGACUGAGACACGGCCAGACUCCGUACGGGAGGCAGCAGGUAGGGAAUAUGCACGAAGUGGGACGAAAGCCUGAUGCAGCGACGCCGCGUGGAGGGAUGGACCGGUCCGUUCGGGUAGUAACC